AGAUUGAACGCUGGCGGCAUGCCUAACACAUGCAAGUCGAACGGCAGCGCGGGUAGCAAUACCUGGCGGCGAGUGGCGGACGGGGUGAGGAAUACAUAGGAAUCUACCCUGUCGUGGGGGAUAACGUAGGGAAACUUACGCUAAUACCGCAUACGACCGAGAGGUGAAAGCGGCGGACCGCAAGGCGUCGCGCGGCUGGAUGAGCCUAUGUCCGAUUAGCUAGUUGGCGGGGUAAGAGCCCACCGAAGGCGACGAUCGGUAGCUGGUCUGAGAGGAUGAUCAGCCACACGUGGGACUGAGACACCGCCCAGACUCCGUACGGGAGCAGCAGGUGGGAAUAGUAGGACAAG
This 350-nucleotide ribosomal RNA is filed under the name uncultured soil bacterium. Its description in RNAcentral is "bacterial SSU rRNA". It matches the Rfam family "Bacterial small subunit ribosomal RNA", at positions 26 to 373 of the family's 1533-position model. The record is from RNAcentral.